AUGGAGUUUUGAAUUGAAAAUUAGAUUUUCUGCUUCACAUGAAUGCCAUAGAGGUGGAGGAUUGUAAUCCAUGGAGGAAUCGAUGGGUUCAGCCGACUGGUGGUUUUCCUGAAGGCUUCUAACAGCAACAGAAGUGACAUUGUAAUGGACCUGUUUUCGGAAGCAGUCGCCCAGUUUGGUGUCCCAUCCAGAGUGAGAUGUGACUAUGGAGGGGAAAACAACGCCAUUUGUCUCUUCAUGGAUGUCUUCCGAGGAUCAACCCGAGGGAGUGCUUUAAGAGGGAUGAGCACUCAUAAUCAACGCAUUGAAAGACUGUGGGGCGAUGUCUGGAGAGGCGUGACAAAAAAAACGCAAGGUCCUACGUAGUGUGGUCAGGUCUGCUGAGUUUAUCAUCGGCAGGCCACCACUAGCCAUUUUACAUUGAUGCAUUUCUCACUAGUCACUUUACACACUGUCACUUUCAGCUACUGGUUGCACUAUCAGCAAUAUUGCACUAACUGUACCCCACUUGUCUUAGGUUAGUAUAGGUCUAAGGUUAGUAUAGGUCAUUAUCUAUAUUAGAGGUCUCUAUUUUGUAUAUUUAGGAGGUUUAUAAUUUGUUAUUAUCAUUUUUCUUUUAGCUUAUCAUAGAUGUAAUCUAAGUACUUAUUAUGUUAUGCCAGGUUGCUUUGCAUUGUCUUGUCCCAAAAAUGUCAGUGCCCAGUCUGACUUUGUGGUGUUCUGUGUACCUGACAAUAAGACUUGAAACAGA
This is a long non-coding RNA of Osmerus eperlanus (European smelt), 751 nucleotides long. RefSeq lists it as uncharacterized. NCBI's taxonomy places the organism in Eukaryota, Metazoa, Chordata, Actinopteri, Osmeriformes, Osmeridae. The record is from RefSeq and is a predicted model, not a curated record. The transcript is spliced from 2 exons.